UUCCAGGAAAAGCCUCUAAGCUUCAGAUUGUAAGGAAUCGUACCCCAAACCGACACAGGUGGUCGGGUAGAGAAUACCAAGGCGCUUGAGAGAACUCGGGUGAAGGAACUAGGCAAAAUGGUACCGUAACUUCGGGAGAAGGUACGCUCUUGAUGGUGAAGUCCCUCGCGGAUGGAGCUGACGAGAGUCGCAGAUACCAGGUGGCUGCAACUGUUUAUUAAAAACACAGCACUGUGCAAAAUCGUAAGAUGACGUAUACGGUGUGACGCCUGCCCGGUGCCGGAAGGUUAAUUGAUGGGGUUAGACUUCGGUCGAAGCUCUUGAUCGAAGCCCCGGUAAACGGCGGCCGUAACUAUAACGGUCCUAAGGUAGCGAAAUUCCUUGUCGGGUAAGUUCCGACCUGCACGAAUGGCGUAAUGAUGGCCACGCUGUCUCCACCCGAGACUCAGUGAAAUUGAAAUCGCUGUGAAGAUGCAGUGUACCCGCGGCUAGACGGAAAGACCCCGUGAACCUUUACUACAGCUUGGCACUGAACAUUGACCCUACAUGUGUAGGAUAGGUGGGAGGCUUUGAAGCACGUACGCCAGUAUGUGUGGAGCCGUCCUUGAAAUACCACCCUUGUAGUGUUGAUGUUCUAACGUCGACCCCUUAUCGGGGUUGCGGACAGUGCCUGGUGGGUAGUUUGACUGGGGCGGUCUCCUCCCAAAGAGUAACGGAGGAGCACGAAGGUGGGCUAAUCACGGUUGGACAUCGUGAGGUUAGUGCAAUGGCAUAAGCCCGCUUGACUGCGAGAAUGACAAUUCGAGCAGGUGCGAAAGCAGGUCAUAGUGAUCCGGUGGUUCUGAAUGGAAGGGCCAUCGCUCAACGGAUAAAAGGUACUCCGGGGAUAACAGGCUGAUACCGCCCAAGAGUUCAUAUCGACGGCGGUGUUUGGCACCUCGAUGUCGGCUCAUCACAUCCUGGGGCUGAAGUCGGUCCCAAGGGUAUGGCUGUUCGCCAUUUAAAGUGGUACGCGAGCUGGGUUUAGAACGUCGUGAGACAGUUCGGUCCCUAUCUGCCGUGGGCGUUGGAAGAUUGAAGGGGGCUGCUCCUAGUACGAGAGGACCGGAGUGGACGAACCUCUGGUGUUCGGGUUGUGUCGCCAGACGCAUUGCCCGGUAGCUAAGUUCGGAAUCGAUAACCGCUGAAAGCAUCUAAGCGGGAAGCGAGCCCUGAGAUGAGUCUUCCCUGAUACUUUAAGUAUCCUAAAGGGUUGUCGGAGACUACGACGUUGAUAGGUCAGGUGUGUAAGUGCUGUGAGGCAUUGAGCUAACUGAUACUAAUUGCCCGUGAGGCUUAACCAU
RNAcentral lists this ribosomal RNA (1343 nucleotides) under Vibrio parahaemolyticus. Its description in RNAcentral is "partial 23S ribosomal RNA". It matches the Rfam family "Bacterial large subunit ribosomal RNA", at positions 1606 to 2925 of the family's 2925-position model. The record is from RNAcentral. Lineage: Bacteria; Pseudomonadati; Pseudomonadota; Gammaproteobacteria; Vibrionales; Vibrionaceae.